RNAcentral lists this ribosomal RNA (1355 nucleotides) under uncultured bacterium. RNAcentral's name for it is "bacterial SSU rRNA". It matches the Rfam family "Bacterial small subunit ribosomal RNA", at positions 28 to 1381 of the family's 1533-position model. The record is from RNAcentral.
AUUGAACGCUGGCGGCAGGCUUAACACAUGCAAGUCGAACGAUGACUCUCUAGCUUGCUAGAGAAGAUUAGUGGCGGACGGGUGAGUAACAUUUAGGAAUCUGCCUAGUAGUGGGGGAUAGCUCGGGGAAGCUCGAAUUAAUACCGCAUACGACCUACGGGUGAAAGGGGGCGCAAGCUCUUGCUAUUAGAUGAGCCUAAAUCAGAUUAGCUAGUUGGUGGGGUAAAGGCCCACCAAGGCGACGAUCUGUAACUGGUCUGAGAGGAUGAUCAGUCACACCGGAACUGAGACACGGUCCGGACUCCUACGGGAGGCAGCAGUGGGGAAUAUUGGACAAUGGGGGCAACCCUGAUCCAGCCAUGCCGCGUGUGUGAAGAAGGCCUUUUGGUUGUAAAGCACUUUAAGCAGGGAGGAGAGACUAAUGGUUAAUACCCAUUAGAUUAGACGUUACCUGCAGAAUAAGCACCGGCUAACUCUGUGCCAGCAGCCGCGGUAAUACAGAGGGUGCGAGCGUUAAUCGGAAUUACUGGGCGUAAAGCGAGUGUAGGUGGCUCAUUAAGUCACAUGUGAAAUCCCCGGGCUUAACCUGGGAACUGCAUGUGAUACUGGUGGUGCUAGAAUAUGUGAGAGGGAAGUAGAAUUCCAGGUGUAGCGGUGAAAUGCGUAGAGAUCUGGAGGAAUACCGAUGGCGAAGGCAGCUUCCUGGCAUAAUAUUGACACUGAGAUUCGAAAGCGUGGGUAGCAAACAGGAUUAGAUACCCUGGUAGUCCACGCCGUAAACGAUGUCUACUAGCCGUUGUGGUCCUUGAGACUUUAGUGGCGCAGUUAACGCGAUAAGUAGACCGCCUGGGGAGUACGGCCGCAAGGUUAAAACUCAAAUGAAUUGACGGGGGCCCGCACAAGCGGUGGAGCAUGUGGUUUAAUUCGAUGCAACGCGAAGAACCUUACCUGGUCUUGACAUAGUGAGAAUCCUGUAGAGAUGCGGGAGUGCCUUCGGGAAUUCACAUACAGGUGCUGCAUGGCUGUCGUCAGCUCGUGUCGUGAGAUGUUGGGUUAAGUCCCGCAACGAGCGCAACCCUUUUCCUUAUUUGCCAGCGGGUUAAGCCGGGAACUUUAAGGAUACUGCCAGUGACAAACUGGAGGAAGGCGGGGACGACGUCAAGUCAUCAUGGCCCUUACGACCAGGGCUACACACGUGCUACAAUGGUAGGUACAGAGGGUUGCUACACAGCGAUGUGAUGCUAAUCUCAAAAAGCCUAUCGUAGUCCGGAUUGGAGUCUGCAACUCGACUCCAUGAAGUCGGAAUCGCUAGUAAUCGCAGAUCAGAAUGCUGCGGUGAAUACGUUCCCGGGCCU